RNAcentral lists this ribosomal RNA (674 nucleotides) under uncultured bacterium. RNAcentral describes it as "bacterial SSU rRNA". It matches the Rfam family "Bacterial small subunit ribosomal RNA", at positions 78 to 778 of the family's 1533-position model. The record is from RNAcentral.
GGGUGCAGCAAUGGCAACCGGCGUAAGGGGCAGUAAGGCAUGGGUACCUACCGUGGGGUUCGGGAUAGCCAUCAGAGAUGGCGGGUAAUACCGGAUGACCUCGAGAGAGCAAAGAUUCAUCGCCCCGUGAGGGGCCCAUGUGAUAUUAGCUAGUUGGCGGGGUAAUGGCCCACCAAGGCUGAGAUGUCUAGCGGGUGUGAGAGCACGACCCGCGCCACUCGCACUGAGACACUGGCGAGACACCUACGGGUGGCUGCAGUCGAGGAUCUUCGGCAAUGGGGGCAACCCUGACCGAGCGACGCCGCGUGUGCGACGAAGGCCUUCGGGUUGUAAAGCACUGUCGAGGGGGAGAAAAGUCGAAAGGUGUGAUCUAUCCCUGGAGGAAGCUCGGGCUAAGUUCGUGCCAGCAGCCGCGGUAAGACGAACCGAGCGAACGUUGUUCGGAAUAACUGGGCUUAAAGGGCGCGUAGGCGGGCCGCCAAGUUCGAGGUGAAAUCCUCCGGCUCAACCGGAGAACUGCCUCGAAUACUGGAGGCCUCGAGGCGGGUAGGGGCAUGCGGAACUGUGGGUGGAGCGGUGAAAUGCGUUGAUAUCCACAGGAACUCCGGUGGCGAAGGCGGAUGCUGGACCCGAUCUUGACGCUGAGGCGCGAAAGCCAGGGGAGCAAACGGGGA